This 123-nucleotide non-coding RNA is filed under the name bovine gut metagenome. RNAcentral describes it as "FMN riboswitch (RFN element)". It matches the Rfam family "FMN riboswitch aptamer (RFN element)". From Rfam's summary of the family: The RFN element is a highly conserved domain that is found frequently in the 5'-untranslated regions of prokaryotic mRNAs that encode for flavin mononucleotide (FMN) biosynthesis and transport proteins. The record is from RNAcentral.
CUUCGGGGCAGGGUGAAAAUCCCUACCGGCAGUGAUGGCGCGAGCCAAAGUCUGCGAGCAGGCGCGAGCCUGCCGAAUCGGUGAGAAUCCGAUACCGACGGUCAAAGUCCGGAUGGGAGAAGC